Molecule: long non-coding RNA, 693 nt
Organism: Cercocebus atys (sooty mangabey)
Lineage: Eukaryota; Metazoa; Chordata; Mammalia; Primates; Cercopithecidae
Exons: 4
Source: RefSeq, a predicted model, not a curated record
CUGGUCUCUAACUCGACCUCAGGUGAUCCGCCUCCGGAAGUGCUGGAAUGACCUGUUUUUCUUCUUAAUUUGAAAGUGGUUUAAAUGCAAAGCGCCUUUUGUGAGCAGGUAGGAAACAAGAGAGCUUGCUGUUUUUCAUCUUUUUUGGCGCAUUCUCUGAAUGAAGACACCUGAGUCCUUCCCAGUUUUUCGCUGUUACCGCGGACGCCCCGCUGGCUGCCUGAAGUUGAGAAAGAUAUUCAUGACUUUGAGUUUCAGUGGCAAGAAGAUGAAAGAAAUGCCCAUGGAGCACCCAUGACAAAAAUAAAAAAGUUGGCCGGUAGUACAGACUGAUAUGAUCAAAGGUUUGCUGGAAACAAGCCUAUUAAAGACCAGCUGGGAUCAAGCUUUUAUUCACAUUGGUCUGAACUCCACAUAUUUCAGACCGAAGGGAAAAUUGAUUGCUGUUAUCAUAGGAUUAAACCCACCCUCAAUAAUUCUUACAAUGACGCUGGUGAUUCUCAUCUGUGUCCAGCACGGAACGUCAAGGAAAUUUCUUUCAUCUUGAGAACUGAGAUCAGCCUGUGAUCCACAGGGAGGUGAGGGGAUUGUGCUCUGCAUGGGGUUUGGUUAGGGCCAGAUCUGUGCCCUGAAGAUCUGUGCCCUGCUGCAGCGUGUGUGUGUGGACUUUUCCAGGAGGGAGCAAGAUCUGAA